GUGGCGCAUUCUCGCGGGCCUGGAGGCGCAGGAGGAUCGCAGGCCCGGUCUGCCCGGGACCGUUUGCAUGUGUGGGGACGCGUGGGGCCCCAGUGGCCACGGGACUGAUCAUCGGGGGGGUGGAGCGCCGACAUGCAGCCUGGAGGGGGGUCUCGCCGGAUGGUGCAGCAGAGUGUUGGAGCCCGACCGGUGUUCCGCAGCCUUGGUGGGUGGUGCCUUGGGGGGGAUGGGGGCAAUGGCAUGGAACGACUGUAACGUUGUUGAGACGUAUGACUUCGGGAGCCCCUGCCCGUCGGUUGGGUUGGAGCCGUGACUGUUGCAUUUUGCAGGUUCCUGCUGGAAAGUGCGCCUCUGCAGUGCAUGGAU
This 366-nucleotide long non-coding RNA is filed under the name Androctonus crassicauda. Lineage: Eukaryota; Metazoa; Arthropoda; Arachnida; Scorpiones; Buthidae. The record is from RNAcentral.